UGUGUAAAAGUCAAAAAAGAGACAAAUUAUUGUUAAUAAUUUUAAUGAGAGUUUCUCUCUUGCACAA
Molecule: transfer RNA, 67 nt
Filed under: Cacopsylla citrisuga
Lineage: Eukaryota; Metazoa; Arthropoda; Insecta; Hemiptera; Psyllidae
Description: tRNA-Asn
Source: RNAcentral